Long non-coding RNA from Stegodyphus dumicola, 350 nucleotides. The record is from RefSeq and is a predicted model, not a curated record. Lineage: Eukaryota; Metazoa; Arthropoda; Arachnida; Araneae; Eresidae.
ACUCGUUUUUUUCCACUAAAUAGAUCCAGCAUUAACAUGGUUCUUUGCCAGAAGUGAAGCAAGUGAUGAACAUGAAAUUCGUCGCAGAGGUAUCGCCGACGAAUGCUGCCGCAGAACCUGCACGUAUUCAACCCUCGUAUCGUAUUGUGCAGCAUGAUGUCACGCGCUGAUAUAUGGUUUUCUCCGCAUAAGUAUCCUGUUGGAAAGGGGAAAACAAGCUGAUAUAGAUACCUUUUACGCACAUGAGAUAAAAUCUGCCAUUACUCCAUUCAGCACUCUAUUCUUAACAUAUGCAACGUUGCAAUGGAGAAUAAUUUAAAGAAUGUAUAAUAAAUGUGUAUUUUACCGUA